UUGUUAAGAAGAGAAGGCUUUUGUUCUGAAGACUAAAAGUCUGUAAGACUAAAACAGUUAAAUGUUACCCAAAAAGUAAAAGGCAAGAGAUGUGAUACAUCUCAUGUUAAAAUUGGCCUGGUCUUUUUUAUUUAACUAAUUAUAGCUCACAGGAAGAAGAAUUGGUCUCUGCAGCUAUUAACACAGCUGGAUACAAGAAGAAGAAGUGGCUGUAGAAAAAGAGUUUAGUUAAACUCAGAAAGUUUUAAAGAAAACUAAUGGUAAAAGUUAAUGCAGUAUUGUUUUUCUUUUAACACUGUGCUAUUAAGAAAUCCUUUCCAGGUACCAUUAAAGCAGCAAUCCAAACCACGGAAAGAGGGUGAAUUCAUGCCAGCAAAACCAAAGGACUUGUGAAGAAACUUGAGGAAUGGACUAUCACAUCUAAACCGGGUGAUACCAAAUUGACUUCCAACCAGGACUGGGUGGUAAUGGUUUGGGAAGACCCAAAUGAUCCAAGGCAGGUACAAAGAAUAACACCUCACUGAGAAAUAAGGCAAAGCUUGCAUCACUGGUUCUAAGCCCUGCCUGAAUAAACCCUGAGACGCCUCCGACACCUCCUUGGCAGAGGAACACUGCCACUUCAAACAGGAGGAUCGGGAGUGUUUCAGUCAAAGAGUUCUUAUAGCCUGGCCUCAGCCUGUGGCUUGUACAGGGAAGAAGGGAAAUUGCCAUCAGUACUAUACUGUAUACUUUAUGUGAUUCAUCCUCAUAUUGGACAUGCCAGCUGGGCUAUAAAGUGAAUGUUUAAAUUAUGAGAAUAAUUGGCAUUGUAGUUCACAAAAUCUAUGUUCUCGUUGCAAGAAGUAUUGAGUACUGAAUCAAUCCCCUAUACAGAAAGAACUCAAAAACUGAAGUAAUAACUUUGUUUUGUGGAUGGGAGUUAUUAGUGCCUGUUGAGUGAGAGAUACCUGAGGAACGGUGGGAAACCACAGUUAAGGAGUGUCGAAAAGGACUUGCCUAAAAAAAUGAGUAAAAAGGAGUGACAAGGGAAACAGAGGGCAAGCCUGGACUGAGCACUGUACUCACCACCGAGAAGAUCACACGUACCUGCUGUGGGAAGCAACCCCACAGGCAGGGGAGGUGGGGGUAUAAGCCAUGCCAGACCUCUGUCAUUCCUGUUUCUGUCUCUCAUUUGUUGUCUUUUCCCUUCUGAGAUACCAGCAAGAUCGUGUCCCAAAUGCUACAGAAAGUAUUACACGGAAAGGAACCAAAGUUCCUUUUUGUUACACACACCCAUGUCAACAGCCACAGACCCACCCAAACUGAGUACCUGCAGGCAAAAUGGGGAAAAAUAUUGGAUUACAAGGAACUUGGGAAAAAGUAGUAAUACUUGGGGCAUGGAAUGUCCAAAAGGAGAGAGAUGGAUUUGUUUUACAUUUGAUCUUAGAGAUAUAGUCCAAGAUUCGGUAA
Molecule: long non-coding RNA, 1449 nt
Filed under: Taeniopygia guttata (zebra finch)
Lineage: Eukaryota; Metazoa; Chordata; Aves; Passeriformes; Estrildidae
Description: lncRNA (ENSTGUG00000019008.1)
Source: RNAcentral